This 827-nucleotide long non-coding RNA is filed under the name Phaseolus vulgaris (common bean). Its description in RNAcentral is "long non-coding RNA (PVUL_LNC004805)". The record is from RNAcentral. Lineage: Eukaryota; Viridiplantae; Streptophyta; Magnoliopsida; Fabales; Fabaceae.
UGGAUUGUGAGGAAUUCAUGGGGUGCUGAUUGGGGAGAGGAAGGGUACAUCAGAUUGGAAAGAAAUCUGGGUAACAGCAGAUCAGGAAAGUGUGGAAUUGCGAUCGAGCCAUCUUAUCCCAUUAAGACUGGUCAAAACCCACCCAAUCCUGGACCAUCACCCCCUUCACCCGUGAAGCCACCAAAUGUUUGUGACAAUUACUACAGCUGUUCAGAUUCUGCCACUUGCUGCUGCAUUUUCGAGUUUGGAAAAACCUGUUUUGAGUGGGGUUGCUGUCCUCUUGAAGGUGCUACCUGCUGUGAUGACCACUACAGUUGCUGCCCCCAUGACUAUCCCAUCUGCAACACUUAUGCUGGAACUUGUCUCAGGGUAUGAUUAAGACCAUCUAAUGUUUUCUUACAUGCUUGUAUUUUGAACUGAGUUUUCAGGUUGAACUAACCAUUUGCAUUUACUACUCAAUCAUUUGUACUAGGAGAAAAAAUUGAAACAAACUUUUCCAUAAACUAAUUAUAGUUUUUGAAAAGUUUUUUUUUUUUUUUCAUUUUUUCUUAAUUUUUCCUACCAUGCAUACAUAAGAAAAAGCUUUUGCCCACAUGUUCUUGCACUCUUGAGGUUUCUUUCUUCAGAUUGCAUUAACUGAGUAUGGUUUCUUGAGACUGCACCAUUUGAGUUUUUUUUGGAUUGCAUCUGAUCUUCUUUUUUAACAUUUGUUACAACUUUAAUACAAUCUAAGAUAAAUUUGAUGAAACCUGAAGGAAUGCGUUGUUGUAAUUUACUCAUUAUUGUAUCAUGUACUUAUCAUCUGAAUUUUUUGUGAAUGACAGAGC